GCUGGGUUUGGUGGAGCACGCCUGUAAUCCCAGCAGCUCUGGAGGCUGAGGCAAGAGGAUCACAAAUUCAAAGCCAGCCUCAGCAGUUCAGCAAGGCCCUAAGCAACUUAGCGAGACCCUGUCUCUA
This 127-nucleotide small RNA is filed under the name Marmota monax (woodchuck). Lineage: Eukaryota; Metazoa; Chordata; Mammalia; Rodentia; Sciuridae. The record is from RNAcentral.